This 56-nucleotide non-coding RNA is filed under the name Enterococcus faecalis ATCC 4200. RNAcentral describes it as "pemK RNA". It matches the Rfam family "pemK RNA". The record is from RNAcentral. Lineage: Bacteria; Bacillati; Bacillota; Bacilli; Lactobacillales; Enterococcaceae.
AUAAUGAUACUUCUGUGAAGCUCGCCAUAAAGAGGGGAGAGGUGAAAAUCCUAUGC